RNAcentral lists this ribosomal RNA (805 nucleotides) under Salmonella enterica. Its description in RNAcentral is "partial 23S ribosomal RNA". It matches the Rfam family "Bacterial large subunit ribosomal RNA", at positions 387 to 1191 of the family's 2925-position model. The record is from RNAcentral. Lineage: Bacteria; Pseudomonadati; Pseudomonadota; Gammaproteobacteria; Enterobacterales; Enterobacteriaceae.
AGCGCAUGUGCUGUGAGCUCGAUGAGUAGGGCGGGACACGUGGUAUCCUGUCUGAAUAUGGGGGGACCAUCCUCCAAGGCUAAAUACUCCUGACUGACCGAUAGUGAACCAGUACCGUGAGGGAAAGGCGAAAAGAACCCCGGCGAGGGGAGUGAAAAAGAACCUGAAACCGUGUACGUACAAGCAGUGGGAGCACAGGUUUACCUGUGUGACUGCGUACCUUUUGUAUAAUGGGUCAGCGACUUAUAUUCUGUAGCAAGGUUAACCGUAUAGGGGAGCCGGAGGGAAACCGAGUCUUAAUUGGGCGUUAAGUUGCAGGGUAUAGACCCGAAACCCGGUGAUCUAGCCAUGGGCAGGUUGAAGGUUGGGUAACACUAACUGGAGGACCGAACCGACUAAUGUUGAAAAAUUAGCGGAUGACCUGUGGCUGGGGGUGAAAGGCCAAUCAAACCGGGAGAUAGCUGGUUCUCCCCGAAAGCUAUUUAGGUAGCGCCUCGUGAAUUCAUCUCCGGGGGUAGAGCACUGUUUCGGCUAGGGGGCCAUCCCGGCUUACCAACCCGAUGCAAACUGCGAAUACCGGAGAAUGUUAUCACGGGAGACACACGGCGGGUGCUAACGUCCGUCGUGAAGAGGGAAACAACCCAGACCGCCAGCUAAGGUCCCAAAGUCAUGGUUAAGUGGGAAACGAUGUGGGAAGGCCCAGACAGCCAGGAUGUUGGCUUAGAAGCAGCCAUCAUUUAAAGAAAGCGUAAUAGCUCACUGGUCGAGUCGGCCUGCGCGGAAGAUGUAACGGGGCUAAACCAUG